GAUGAACGCUGGCGGCGUGCCUAAUACAUGCAAGUCGAGCGAACAGACGAGGAGCUUGCUCCUCUGACGUUAGCGGCGGACGGGUGAGUAACACGUGGAUAACCUACCUAUAAGACUGGGAUAACUUCGGGAAACCGGAGCUAAUACCGGAUAAUAUAUUGAACCGCAUGGUUCAAUAGUGAAAGACGGUUUUGCUGUCACUUAUAGAUGGAUCCGCGCCGCAUUAGCUAGUUGGUAAGGUAACGGCUUACCAAGGCAACGAUGCGUAGCCGACCUGAGAGGGUGAGCGGCCACACUGGAACUGCAACACGGUCCAGACUCCUACGGGAGGCAGCAGUAGGGAAUCUUCCGCAAUGGGCGAAAGCCUGACGGAGCAACGCCGCGUGAGUGAUGAAGGUCUUCGGAUCGUAAAACUCUGUUAUUAGGGAAGAACAAAUGUGUAAGUAACUAUGCACGUCUUGACGGUACCUGAUCAGAAAGCCACGGCUAACUACGUG
RNAcentral lists this ribosomal RNA (497 nucleotides) under uncultured bacterium. Its description in RNAcentral is "partial 16S ribosomal RNA". It matches the Rfam family "Bacterial small subunit ribosomal RNA", at positions 28 to 507 of the family's 1533-position model. The record is from RNAcentral.